This 445-nucleotide ribosomal RNA is filed under the name uncultured soil bacterium. RNAcentral describes it as "bacterial SSU rRNA". It matches the Rfam family "Bacterial small subunit ribosomal RNA", at positions 26 to 522 of the family's 1533-position model. The record is from RNAcentral.
AGAACGAACGCUGGCGGCAUGCCUAAUACAUGCAAGUCGAACGAACACUUCGGUGUUAGUGGCGCACGGGUGCGUAACGCGUGGGAAUCUGCCCUUGGGUUCGGAAUAACAGUUGGAAACGACUGCUAAUACCGGAUGAUAUCGAAAGAUCAAAGAUUUAUCGCCCAGGGAUGAGCCCGCGUAGGAUUAGCUAGUUGGUGAGGUAAAGGCUCACCAAGGCGACGAUCCUUAGCUGGUCUGAGAGGAUGAUCAGCCACACUGGGACUGAGACACGGCCCAGACUCCUACGGGAGGCAGCAGUGGGGAAUAUUGGACAAUGGGCGAAAGCCUGAUCCAGCAAUGCCGCGUGAGUGAUGAAGGCCUUAGGGUCGUAAAGCUCUUUACCCGGGAUGAUAAUGACAGUACCGGAGAAUAAGCUCCGCUAACUCCGUGCCAGCACGCCGAC